GUAAGAUUGUGCUCCUCAAAGAAAACUCAUACAGGCUUCAGAGUAAUUAAUGGCAGGAUGGACGCAGCGAGGUCAUAGAAAGUAAUAUAAAAUAUUCUUAGUAAGUAUAGUAAUUGCAUAGAUGGAGAAUCAAGUGUAGUAUUCGAAGAUCUUAAUUAUAGAGUUGUGAAGUCCUAAUAGGUGGUAUAAUGAGGCGAACAAGCUCUAAAACGAACUAAUUGUGUCUUAAUGACAUCUUUAAUGUGGAAAUGAAACAAUGGCGUCUGCUCCAGAGAGAAGCUGACUUCAUCUGUGGCUGUCAUUGGCAGACUGGACUCUUCUUCAUCAGGAGGGAGGAGAUUUUCUCCGGCACACCCAGAUUAGGAGUUUAAAUGAGCUCUAGUAUGCACUGCAGAUGCUAUGAAACGCAGAAGAGAUGUUUUCCAGAAGAACCCAUUCGGUGAGCUCAGAAAAACAGCAGUCCGGAGCUGUUAUUUCCCAGCCGUCCCAGUUCUCCCUGGAGGAUGGAUGCAAUUUCCACACAGAAAACAACAUUUGGAUCUGCUGGAAGUGGAACAAAGCUCCAUAGAGAGCAUCAACAUGGUGCAUAAGUUCAUGAAUUUAAACAAUCCAGUAUAAAUGCUUGGUUUGACCUUUACGGUGCAGAAGAGUGACCCACAAACCCCAGCAGUGUCCUGGAUCAUGAGCUGUCUUCAGCAUCUGCUCUCAAACUCUUGCAGUGGAGUCCAACUCCUGCAGCCAAGACAGUGGAUCAGGAAUCAAUCCACAGACCCAACAGUAACUCCAGAGCCAAGACGCUGACCCGACUGAGCUGAGGAAUCUGAUCUCCCGCCUGCAGAAACUCACUGUCAGCAUCUUACAGCACAGACUCCUGCCUGCGAGAGCCCUCGCGCUCCUACACAACAGCCAACAGCAGGAGCAGCUGUGGCCCGUAUCGACUUCCUCCAACUGAUCCGUGCCAGGAGGUGUGUCUUUGUUUUGAGUUGAAGUUCAUAUGGAAAACAGGAGGGAACUGCAACAUUCCUGUCAUCAAGGAGGGCAUGCAAAAACGUAACGUCAGCUUGUGUUCAUGCAAAUACU
Long non-coding RNA from Cyprinus carpio carpio, 1080 nucleotides. The record is from Ensembl. NCBI's taxonomy places the organism in Eukaryota, Metazoa, Chordata, Actinopteri, Cypriniformes, Cyprinidae.